This 2002-nucleotide long non-coding RNA is filed under the name Sus scrofa (pig). RNAcentral's name for it is "lncRNA (ENSSSCG00060012570.1)". The record is from RNAcentral. Lineage: Eukaryota; Metazoa; Chordata; Mammalia; Artiodactyla; Suidae.
GGAGAUGGUGCCCUGAUAGAACUGGACCUGAAGCUCUGCACUUGUGUGCUUCAAUACAAACCAGGUUUCUGGACUCACACAGACUUGAAACCAAAGCCAGGCUUGACCACAGAUAGUUCGAGGCUCCAGGAUGUUCCUGAGAUGGCGAAGCUGGCAUCCCUCACGGUCUGAAGGCAGGGGAGGCCCUGAGCUAGCCAAGGAGACCUCACACUGGAACACGAUGAAACUGUCUGUCAGAUGAGGCUCUGCAAAGUGAGUCAUCUGAUGGCGCCAAGCUGCUCACGGCUUAUUAGACAGUAACACGGCGUGCACUCCAGAGCCUCCACUUCCAAACACAGCCAGUGGUGAGCGUGUUCUCGGAGUCACAAAGAUCACAUGCAGAGAGCCUUGGAGCAGGAGGGGAACCCAGAGGGCCUUGGAGAUCAGAGGCCCAGAGAGGGAAAGCGACCUGCCCAGGACCUCCUAGUAAACUGAUGAGACACGGUUUGAGAACCCUCUUUUUCGCCAGCCUGCACACCUCUGUCCUUAUGUUGCACACGCCCACGUGCCUCUGGCUGUCUUGGGGGCUCUGGAUUCGAUGGCUGGGCUUUCCCUCUCAAUGCAGGAGCCCUCAGUCGGUAAGCCUGCUCACCCCCUUGCUGAGCACCCCCUGGAAGCAAGAAAAUUGGAAAGAGACAGCUGGGCUGGAGUCUUAACUAUUUUAAUAACGUUUGGUACCAUGGCUGUUGCUGGGAGAUUAGCAGGGAAAUGUAACGGUGUGUAAUUUUUCCUAAGAAUUGCAUUAACAAAAUCAAAUGGGCAGAUGGAGGUGGAAGUUGGGGGGCAGGGAUAGAGCGCUUUCUGGAGGCUUCCUUGGGAGGGAGUUUCUAGGCUCAGGACCUCAGCAAAGCUCUGGGGUGUAAGUGAGAGCUUUCCUUGGGCCAUCUCUCAUCUUUCCUAUCCCUGCCUGUCCUCCAUGUGGGAGGAGAGGCAAGGCAGGGGAAAGAGAAGAAGGACUGGGUUCAAAUUUCUAUCCUGCUGCUUUCUCACGGGGGGGGGGGGGGGGNNGGGGGGGGCUUAGAUAAGUGGCUUUACCUCUCUUGAGUGUGUGCUUCCUUGCCUGUAGCUAGGGGUAGCCAUGCAAGGCUCUUCCAGGGAUCAGGAUGCUAAGCGUGGUGUCUGAUGCAGAGUGGCCUGGGAUGGACGCCUGUCUGGUUAACUCUCCAAAUGUCCACUCUCUGGCCCACCCAGAUCAUACCAUCUACCUCUCAUGCUCCACUUUCUAUAGCAGGAGGCUUCUCUGCAUGUCAGGCCAGGGCUGCGGCCAAGGACAAGGCCAGAGAAGGCAGGACCUCUUUCCUGCAUACAGGGAGCUGAGAAGGCCAGGCAUUCACAUCUACUUUUCUUCAGCCUGGCAGCAGAUUUAAGACACUACAGAGUGUGCUCUCAGCCAGAAUCACCCGAUCUGUCUCAAAAACCCUGAGAGAAAGGGGGCUACUGGGCCCCAUUUUACAGAUGGGGAAACUGAGGCUCGGACAGAUUGUCAGCAGGUCAGUAGCAGAAUUAAAAAUGGAGCAGAAAUACCAGAUGGGAAAUCCCAAAUUCUUCUUGCAACAUUCCUUUGUCAUAUAUCUUCCAUCCAACUUUUUACACAUUUUCUCAUUUUCUCUUUGGUUUGCUUUUGCACCAUCAACUAGACUGUAAGCUGCUUGAGGGUAGACCUUUGUGCUUACCCACUACGUUUCAUGAGACUUGGCACACAGCAUGUGCUCAGGUAAGACAUCAAAUUAAAUGGGCAGAGACCUGGUGAGGUACUAUUUCCUUAGUAAGUCCAGGCUCCGAGUUGUCCCUUUCUCCCACACUCCAGCCUACAUACACACACGCCACACACACAUGCCACGCACGCAUACACGGCUUGCAGAAUCUAAUAACAACCAGUUUAAAAACAUACUAAAAACAGAAAAUUUAUGUAGCAUGACCCAAAUUGAAUUAUACAUUACAGCACUAUAAUUGAUUUUUUAGA